GAUUUAUCAUCUCAAAACUCUUAGAUACCAAAGUUUUAGUAAAUGAGUUGGCCAAGUUCUCUUUUCCAUCGAUCUUCUAAAGAUUGAUGUUAUCUUAAUAGAUUUCCUGAAUAAGGUAGUAGCGAUACAAAAUGCUUGAUAAGCUAAUGAGACUUUGGCUCCUUGGCAUAAGCUAUGGCUAUGAUGCUAUACAAUACAGUAGGACCA
Molecule: long non-coding RNA, 207 nt
Filed under: Elaeis guineensis (African oil palm)
Lineage: Eukaryota; Viridiplantae; Streptophyta; Magnoliopsida; Arecales; Arecaceae
Description: long non-coding RNA (EGUI_LNC069119)
Source: RNAcentral